Non-coding RNA from Xyrichtys novacula (pearly razorfish), 1477 nucleotides. The record is from the annotation of a GenBank genome assembly. Lineage: Eukaryota; Metazoa; Chordata; Actinopteri; Labriformes; Labridae.
AUUAGGUUUUGGGACUAGGGAAAGGUUUAAGGGUUUUGGCGUUAGGGUUAAAAUCACUGUCCAAAACCUUUGUAGGAACUCUUUUCCAACCUUUUGGAGUUAGACCAAAAAAAAAAGAAAAAUGAAAAAAAAAUAUUUGGGGUGUUCAGGCUUCCUAAAAGUAAUACCCGGGUAUUAGGUUAUAGGGCUAUGGUAAGGUUUAAGUUUUUUGGCAUAAGGGUUAAAAUCCCUGUCCAAAACCUUUGUAGGAACACUUUUCCAACCUUUUGGAAUUAGAUAAAACAAAAAAAUAUGAAAAAUGAAAAAAUAUAUAUUUGGGGUUUUCGUGCUUCCUGAAUGUAAUACCCGGGUAUUAGAUUUUAAGGCUAGGGUAAGGUUUAAGUUUUUUGGCGUUAGGGUUAAAAUCACUGUCCAAAACCUUUGUAGGAACUCUUUUCCAACCUUUUGGAUUUAGUUAGACCAAAAAAAAUGAAAAAUUAAAAAAAAUAUAUUUGGGGUGUUCAGGCUUCCUAAAAGUAAUACCCGGGUUUUAGAUUUUGAGGCUAGGGUAAGGUUUAAGGUUUUUGGCGUUAGGGUUAAAAUCACUGUCCAAAACCUUUGUAGGAACUCUUUUCCAACCUUUUGGAGUUAGUUAAACCAAAAAAAAAGAAAAAUGAAAAAAUAUAUAUUUGGGGUUUUCGGGCUUCCUGAAUGUAAUACCCGGGUAUUAGAUUUUUAGGCUAGGGUAAGGUUUAAGUUUUUUGGCGUUAGGGUUAAAAUCACUGUCCAAAACCUUUGUAGGAACUCUUUUCCAACCUUUUGGAGUUGGUUACACCAACAAUAAUGUAAAAUGAACAAAAAAAUAUUUGGGGUGUUCGGGCUUCCUGAAGGUAAUACCCCGGUAUUAGAUUUUAAGGCUAGGGUAAGGUUUAAGUUUUUUGGCGUUAGGGUUAAAAUCACUGUCCAAAACCUUUGUAGGAACUCUUUUCCAACCUUUUGGAGUUAGUUAGACCAAAAAGUAUGAAAAAAGAAAAAAAUAUUAUUGGGGGUUUUCGGGCUCCCUGAAAGUAAUACCCGGGUAUUAGAUUUUAAGGCUAGGGUAAGGUUUAAGGUUUUUGGCGUUAGGGUUAAAAUCACUGUCCAAAACCUUUGUAGGAACUCUUUUCCAACCUUUUGGAGUUAGUUAGACCAAAAAAUAUGAAAAAAGAAAAAAAUAUUAUUGGGGGUUUUCGGGCUCCCUGAAAGUAAUACCCGGGUAUUAGGUUUUGGGGCUAUGGUAAGGUUUAAGUUUUUUGGCGUUAGGGUUAAAAUCACUGUCCAAAACCUUUGUAGGAACUCUUUUCCAACCUUUUGGAGUUAGUUAGACCAAAAAAUAUGAAAAAAGAAAAAAAUAUUUGGGGUGUUCGGGCUUCCUGAAGGUAAUACCCCGGUAUUAGAUUUUAAGGCUAUGGUAAGGUUUAAGUUUUUUGGCGUUAGGGUUAAAAUCACUGUCCAAAAC